This 898-nucleotide ribosomal RNA is filed under the name uncultured Microbacterium sp. RNAcentral describes it as "bacterial SSU rRNA". It matches the Rfam family "Bacterial small subunit ribosomal RNA", at positions 153 to 1047 of the family's 1533-position model. Lineage: Bacteria; Bacillati; Actinomycetota; Actinomycetes; Micrococcales; Microbacteriaceae. The record is from RNAcentral.
GAAACAGGUGCUAAUACCGGAUAUGAGACGUGACCGCAUGGUGACGUUUGGAAAGAAUAUCGGUCAGGGAUGAGCUCGCGGCCUAUCAGCUUGUUGGUGAGGUAAUGGCUCACCAAGGCGUCGACGGGUAGCCGGCCUGAGAGGGUGACCGGCCACACUGGGACUGAGACACGGCCCAGACUCCUACGGGAGGCAGCAGUGGGGAAUAUUGCACAAUGGGCGAAAGCCUGAUGCAGCAACGCCGCGUGAGGGACGACGGCCUUCGGGUUGUAAACCUCUUUCUAGUCAGGGAAGAAGCGAAAGUGACGGUACCUGCAGAAGAAAGCAGCCGGCUAACUACGUGCCAGCAGCCGCGGUAAUACGUAGGGUCGCAAGCGUUAUCCGGAAUUAUUGGGCGUAAAGAGCUCGUAGGCGGUUUGUCGCGUCUGUCUGUGAAAGAUCUCGGAGGCUCAACCUCGCGAGUCCUGCAGUGGGUACGGGCAGACUAGAGUGCGGUAGGGGAGACUUGGAAUUCCUGGUGUAGCGGUGGAAUGCGCAGAUAUCAGGAGGAACACCGAUGGCGAAGGCAGAUCUCUGGGCCGUAACUGACGCUGAGGAGCGAAAGCGAGUGGGGAGCAAACAGGACUUAGAUACCCUGGUAGUCCACCCCGUAAACGUUGGGCAACUAGUUGUGGGGUCCAUUCCACGGAUUCCGUGACGCAGCUAACGCAUUAAGUUCCCCGCCUGGGGAGUACGGCCGCAAGGCUAAAACUCAAAGGAAUUGACGGGGACCCGCACAAGCGGCGGAGCAUGCGGAUUAAUUCGAUGCAACGCGAAGAACCUUACCAAGGCUUGACAUAUACUGAGAACGGGCUAGAAAUAGUCAACUCUUUGGACACUCGUACACAGGUGGUGCAUG